RNAcentral lists this ribosomal RNA (443 nucleotides) under uncultured bacterium. RNAcentral's name for it is "SSU rRNA". It matches the Rfam family "Bacterial small subunit ribosomal RNA", at positions 26 to 518 of the family's 1533-position model. The record is from RNAcentral.
AGAACGAACGCUGGCGGCAGGCUUAACACAUGCAAGUCGAACGCCCCGCAAGGGGAGUGGCAGACGGGUGAGUAACGCGUGGGAAUCUACCUGGUUCUACGGAAUAACUGAGGGAAACUUCAGCUAAUACCGUAUACGCCCCAAGGGGGAAAGAUUUAUCGGUGCCAGAUGAGCCCGCGUUGGAUUAGCUAGUUGGUGGGGUAAUGGCCUACCAAGGCGACGAUCCAUAGCUGGUCUGAGAGGAUGAUCAGCCACACUGGGACUGAGACACGGCCCAGACUCCUACGGGAGGCAGCAGUGGGGAAUAUUGGACAAUGGGCGAAAGCCUGAUCCAGCCAUGCCGCGUGAGUGAUGAAGGCCUUAGGGUUGUAAAGCUCUUUCAGUGGGGAAGAUAAUGACGGUACCCACAGAAGAGCCCCGGCUAACUUCGUGCCAGCAGCCGC